GAUGAACGCUAGCUACAGGCUUAACACAUGCAAGUCGAGGGACCGGCGCACGGGUGAGUAACACGUAUCCACCCUGCCCUUUACUCGGGGAUAGCCUUUCGAAAGAAAGAUUAAUACCCGAUGUACAGGGUGGGGAUGCGUUCGAUUAGGUUGUUGGUGGGGUAACGGCUCACCAAGCUUCCGAUGGAUAGGGGGUCUGAGAGGAAGGUCCCCCACAUUGGAACUGAGGCACGGUCCAAACUCCUACGGGAGGCAGCAGUGAGGAAUAUUGGUCAAUGGGCGUUAGCCUGAACCAGCCAAGUAGCGUGAAGGAUGAAGGCUUAUGGGUCGUAAACUUCUUUUAUAUAAGAAUAGGUAUUAUAUGAAUAAGGAUCGGCUAACUCCGUGCCAGCAGCCGCGGUAAUAC
This 406-nucleotide ribosomal RNA is filed under the name uncultured bacterium. RNAcentral's name for it is "partial 16S ribosomal RNA". It matches the Rfam family "Bacterial small subunit ribosomal RNA", at positions 28 to 526 of the family's 1533-position model. The record is from RNAcentral.